This is a long non-coding RNA of Mytilus californianus (California mussel), 65 nucleotides long. RefSeq lists it as uncharacterized. The transcript is spliced from 2 exons. Lineage: Eukaryota; Metazoa; Mollusca; Bivalvia; Mytilida; Mytilidae. The record is from RefSeq and is a predicted model, not a curated record.
UGAACUCAAAACAGAGAAACAUUGGAAUUAAAAGAAAAGGAAGAAAAAAAAGAAAUAUGCCAAAA